CCUACGGGUGGCAGCAGUGGGGCAUAUUGGGCAAUGGGCGCAAGCCUGACCCAGCAACGCCGCGUGAAUGAAGAAGGCUUUCGGGUUGUAAACUUCUUUUGUCAGGGAAGAGUAGAAGACGGUACCUGACGAAUAAGCCACGGCUACCUACGUGCCAGCAGCCGCGGUAAUACGUAGGUGGCAAGCAUUGUCCGGAUUUACUGGGUGUAAAGGGCGUGUAGCCGGGUUGACAAGUCAGAUGUGAAAUCCUGCGGCUUAACCGCAGAACUGCAUUUGAAACUGUUGAUCUUGAGUACUGGAGAGGCAGACGGAAUUGCUAGUGUAGCGGUGAAAUGCGUAGAUAUUAGGAGGAACACCAGUGGCGAAGGCGGUCUGCUGGACAGCAACUGACGGUGAGGCGCGAAAGCGUGGGGAGCAAACAGGAUUAGAUACCCCAGUAGUC
RNAcentral lists this ribosomal RNA (442 nucleotides) under uncultured bacterium. RNAcentral describes it as "partial 16S ribosomal RNA". It matches the Rfam family "Bacterial small subunit ribosomal RNA", at positions 338 to 795 of the family's 1533-position model. The record is from RNAcentral.